UAAAGGGAGCGCAGGCGGGAAGACAAGUUGGAAGUGAAAUCUAUGGGCUCAACCCAUAAACUGCUUUCAAAACUGUUUUUCUUGAGUAGUGCAGAGGUAGGCGGAAUUCCCGGUGUAGCGGUGGAAUGCGUAGAUAUCGGGAGGAACACCAGUGGCGAAGGCGGCCUACUGGGCACCAACUGACGCUGAGGCUCGAAAGUGUGGGUAGCAAACAGGAUUAGAUACCCUGGUAGUCCACACCGUAAACGAUGAUUACUAGGUGUGGGAGGACUGACCCCUUCCGUGCCGCAGUUAACACAAUAAGUAUUCCACCUGGGGAGUACGACCGCAAGGUUGAAACUCAAAGGAAUUGACGGGGGCCCGCACAAGCAGUGGAGUAUGUGGUUUAAUUCGAAGCAACGCGAAGAACCUUACCUGGUCUUGACAUCCCGGUGACCGGCAUAGAGAUAUGCCUUUCCCUUCGGGGACAGCGGUGACAGGUGGUGCAUGGUUGUCGUCAGCUCGUGUCGUGAGAUGUUGGGUUAAGUCCCGCAACGAGCGCAACCCUUAUUGCCAGUUACUACGCAAGAGGACUCUGGCGAGACUGCCGUUGACAAAACGGAGGAAGGUGGGGAUGACGCCAAAUCAUCAUGCCCUUUAUGACCUGGGCUACACACGUACUACAAUGGCGUUUAACAAAGAGAAGCAAGACCGCGAGGUGGAGCAAAACUCAAAAACAACGUCUCAGUUCAGAUUGCAGGCUGCAACUCGCCUGCAUGAAGUCGGAAUUGCUAGUAAU
Molecule: ribosomal RNA, 778 nt
Filed under: uncultured Bacillota bacterium
Lineage: Bacteria; Bacillati; Bacillota
Description: bacterial SSU rRNA
Rfam family: Bacterial small subunit ribosomal RNA
Source: RNAcentral